UGUUUGUAAUUUCUUGAGAAA
RNAcentral lists this non-coding RNA (21 nucleotides) under Caenorhabditis elegans. Lineage: Eukaryota; Metazoa; Nematoda; Chromadorea; Rhabditida; Rhabditidae. The record is from RNAcentral.